RNAcentral lists this ribosomal RNA (207 nucleotides) under uncultured bacterium. RNAcentral describes it as "partial 16S ribosomal RNA". It matches the Rfam family "Bacterial small subunit ribosomal RNA", at positions 568 to 774 of the family's 1533-position model. The record is from RNAcentral.
UGCGUAGGUGGUGAGGUAAGUCGGAUGUGAAAUCUCCGAGCUCAACUCGGAAAUGGCAUUGGAAACUACCUUGCUCGAGGGUUGGAGGGGGGACUGGAAUGCUUGGUGUAGCAGUGAAAUGCGUAGAUAUCGAGAGGAACACCAGUGGCGAAGGCGAGUCCCUGGACAGGUCCUGACGCUGAGGCACGAAAGCUAGGGGAGCAAACA